UACAGAGGGUGCAAGCGUUGUUCGGAAUUACUGGGCGUAAAGCGCACGUAGGUGGCGACGUAAGUCGGGUGUGAAAGCCCCGGGCUCAACCUGGGAAUUGCAUUCGAGACUGCAUUGCUGGAGUACGGAAGAGGAAGGCGGAAUUCCCGGUGUAGCGGUGAAAUGCGUAGAUAUCGGGAGGAACAUCAGUGGCGAAGGCGGCCUUCUGGUCCAGUACUGACACUCAAGUGCGAAAGCGUGGGGAGCAAACAGG
Molecule: ribosomal RNA, 253 nt
Filed under: uncultured bacterium
Lineage: Bacteria
Description: partial 16S ribosomal RNA
Rfam family: Bacterial small subunit ribosomal RNA
Source: RNAcentral